RNAcentral lists this ribosomal RNA (1388 nucleotides) under metagenome. RNAcentral's name for it is "bacterial LSU rRNA". It matches the Rfam family "Bacterial large subunit ribosomal RNA", at positions 1530 to 2925 of the family's 2925-position model. The record is from RNAcentral.
CGUUAGGCAAAUCCGUCAGGUCUUAACAGUGAGGCAUAAAACAGUAAUCCGUAUGGAUGAAAGCUGAUGAUUCCACGCUGCCAAGAAAAACCUCUAAGGAGAGGGAUUGGGAACCGUACCACAAACCGACACAGGUAGACGAGGAGAAUAUCCAAAGGCGCUCGAGUGAAGGCUUGUUAAGGAACUCGGCAAAUUAGACCCGUAACUUCGGGAGAAGGGUCGCCCACCUCUGGUGGGCCGCAGUGAAGCGCGUACGGCGACUGUUUAACAAAAACACAGGUCUCUGCAAAGUCUAAAACGACGUAUAGGGGCUGACUCCUGCCCGGUGCUGGAAGGUUAAAGGGAGAGGUUAGAGGUAACUCGAAGCUUUGAACUGAAGCCCCAGUGAACGGCGGCCGUAACAAUAACGGUCCUAAGGUAGCGAAAUUCCUUGUCGGGUAAGUUCCGACCUGCACGAAUGGAGUAACGAUCGUACGACUGUCUUAACGAGUUGCUCGGCGAACUUGUAGUACCGGUGAAGAUGCCGGUUACCCGCAGCUAGACGAAAAGACCCCGUGCACCUUUACUAUACUUUUACUAUGGGUUACGGCAAUUGCUGCGCAGGAUAGGUGGGAGGCUUUGAUACCGGGAUCUCGGUUUCGGUGGAGCCAACGGUGAGAUACCACCCUGCGAUUGUUGUGAUCCUAACCUACUCCCAUUAUCUGGGAGAGGGACAUAGUAAGACGGGUAGUUUGACUGGGGCGGUCGCCUCCUAAAUUGUAACGGAGGCGCGCGAAGCUACACUCAGGCCGUUUGGAAAUCGGCCGUCGAGUGCAAAGGCAUAAGUGUGGUUAACUGCGAGACCUACAAGUCGAGCAGAUGCGAAAGCAGGCCUUAGUGAUCCGGUGGUUCUGUAUGGAAGGGCCAUCGCUCAACGGAUAAAAGGUACGCCGGGGAUAACAGGCUGAUCAUUGCCAAGAGUUCAUAUCGACGCAAUGGUUUGGCACCUCGAUGUCGGCUCAUCGCAUCCUGGAGCUGUAGAAGGUUCCAAGGGUUAGGCUGUUCGCCUAUUAAAGCGGUACGUGAGCUGGGUUCAGAACGUCGCGAGACAGUUCGGUCUCUAUCUGCUGUGGGCGUAGGAGAUUUGAGAGGGCCUGUCCUUAGUACGAGAGGACCGGGAUGGACGAACCUCUUGUGUUCCAGUUGUCUUGCCAAAGGCACGGCUGGGUAGCGAAGUUCGGUUAUGAUAACCGCUGAAUGCAUAUAAGCGGGAAGCAUGCCUCAAGAUGAGAUCUCCCAACCCAAAAGGGAAAUGAAGGGCCCUAGAAGACCACUAGGUUGAUAGGCUGGAGGUUGAAGUGCAGUAAUGCAUGUAGCUUACCAGUACUAAUCGCCCGUUCGGCUUGUCC